GAUGAACGCUGGCGGCGUGCCUAAUACAUGCAAGUCGAGCGAACGGACGAGAAGCUUGCUUUUCUGAUGUUAGCGGCGGACGGGUGAGUAACACGUGGAUAACCUACCUAUAAGACUGUGAUAACUUCGGGAAACCGGAGCUAAUACCGGAUAAUAUUUUGAACCGCAUGGUUCAAAAGUGAAAGACGGUCUUGCUGUCACUUAUAGAUGGAUCCGCGCUGCAUUAGCUAGUUGGUAAGGUAACGGCUUACCAAGGCAACGAUGCAUAGCCGACCUGAGAGGGUGAUCGGCCACACUGGAACUGAGACACGGUCCAGACUCCUACGGGAGGCAGCAGUAGGGAAUCUUCCGCAAUGGGCGAAAGCCUGACGGAGCAACGCCGCGUGAGUGAUGAAGGUCUUCGGAUCGUAAAACUAUGUUAUUAGGGAAGAACAUAUGUGUAAGUAACUGUGCACAUCUUGACGGUACCUAAUCAGAAAGCCACGGCUAACUACGUG
This 497-nucleotide ribosomal RNA is filed under the name uncultured bacterium. RNAcentral describes it as "partial 16S ribosomal RNA". It matches the Rfam family "Bacterial small subunit ribosomal RNA", at positions 28 to 507 of the family's 1533-position model. The record is from RNAcentral.